GCAUAUCGAUAUGUGGGGCUAACAAAUACUAAUGAAACGUGAGGCUUAAACUGCCAACACCGAAG
This 65-nucleotide ribosomal RNA is filed under the name Providencia rettgeri. Its description in RNAcentral is "partial 23S ribosomal RNA". The record is from RNAcentral. Lineage: Bacteria; Pseudomonadati; Pseudomonadota; Gammaproteobacteria; Enterobacterales; Morganellaceae.